AGUGAACGCUGGCGGUAGGCCUAACACAUGCAAGUCGAACGGCAGCACAGUAAUAGCUUGCUCUUACGGGUGCCGAGUGGCGAAUGAGUGCGGAAUACCUGGGUAUCUACUUUUUCGAAGGGGCUAACGCGGGGACACUUACGCCAUUACUCCAUACGGCGUACGGGUGAAAGCAUGGGACCUUACGACCUUGCGCGAUUGUAGGACCCGAUGUCGGAUUAGCUAGUUGGCGGGGUAAAGGCCCACCAAGGCGACGAUCCGUAGCUGGUCUGAGAGGAUGAUCAGCCACACUGGAACUGAGACACGGUCCAGACUCCUACGGGAGGCAGCAGUGGGGAAUAUUGGACAAUGGGCGCAAGCCUGAUCCAGCCAUACCGCGUGUGUGAAGAAGGCCUUCGGGUUGUAAAGCCCUUUUGUUGGGAAAGAAAAGCAGCAAGUUAAUACCCCGCUGUUCUGACGGUACCAAAAGAAUAAGCACCGGCUAACUUCGUG
RNAcentral lists this ribosomal RNA (492 nucleotides) under uncultured bacterium. Its description in RNAcentral is "partial 16S ribosomal RNA". It matches the Rfam family "Bacterial small subunit ribosomal RNA", at positions 29 to 507 of the family's 1533-position model. The record is from RNAcentral.